This 399-nucleotide ribosomal RNA is filed under the name uncultured bacterium. Its description in RNAcentral is "bacterial SSU rRNA". It matches the Rfam family "Bacterial small subunit ribosomal RNA", at positions 64 to 507 of the family's 1533-position model. The record is from RNAcentral.
GAGCGCCCGUAGCAAUACGGGAGCGGCAGACGGGAGAGUAACACGUGGGAACGUGCCCUUCAGUUCGGAACAACCCAGGGAAACUUGGGCUAAUACCGGAUACGUCCGUAAGGAGAAAGAUUUAUCGCUGAAGGAUCGGCCCGCGUCUGAUUAGCUAGUUGGUGGGGUAAUGGCCCACCAAGGCGACGAUCAGUAGCUGGUCUGAGAGGAUGAUCAGCCUCACUGGGACUGAGACACGGCCCAGACUCCUACGGGAGGCAGCAGUGGGGAAUAUUGGACAAUGGGCGCAAGCCUGAUCCAGCCAUGCCGCGUGGGUGAUGAAGGCCCUAGGGUUGUAAAGCCCUUUCGGCGGGGAAGAUAAUGACGGUACCCGCAGAAGAAGCCCCGGCUAACUUCGUG